RNAcentral lists this microRNA precursor (137 nucleotides) under Glycine max (soybean). RNAcentral describes it as "miR10427a stem-loop (gma-MIR10427a)". The record is from miRBase by way of RNAcentral. Lineage: Eukaryota; Viridiplantae; Streptophyta; Magnoliopsida; Fabales; Fabaceae.
AAGAGGCUCCAAGAGAAUUGGGCUAGAGCUGCUGAAGAAGGCCCUAGGAUUCUCAUGAACCUCAGGAUAGAUUUCUGAGCCCAUUGACCAAGUUUGGGUCCAAUUCUCUUUGUACAUAUUAGACUAGGAUGUCAUUA